UAGUGUUACAGCUCUUUUAGAAUUUGUUUAUCAGGCCUUCAGGUUUUUUUUUUUUUUUUCUGGAAAGCCCCU
Small nuclear RNA from Pongo abelii (Sumatran orangutan), 72 nucleotides. Its record names the gene U7. It matches the Rfam family "U7 small nuclear RNA". Rfam says of the family: Animal histone pre-mRNAs are spliced by a different mechanism than nuclear pre-mRNAs and self-splicing introns. This processing involves the U7 snRNP, which contains only one RNA species: U7. The 5' end of U7 RNA is thought to base-pair to a conserved spacer element downstream of the cleavage site in histone pre-mRNA. The record is from Ensembl. Lineage: Eukaryota; Metazoa; Chordata; Mammalia; Primates; Hominidae.